Molecule: ribosomal RNA, 478 nt
Filed under: uncultured bacterium
Lineage: Bacteria
Description: partial 16S ribosomal RNA
Rfam family: Bacterial small subunit ribosomal RNA
Source: RNAcentral
GACGAACGCUGGCGGCGUGCUUAACACAUGCAAGUCGAACGGUAAGGCCCUUCGGGGUACACGAGUGGCGAACGGGUGAGUAACACGUGGGUGAUCUGCCCUGCACUUCGGGAUAAGCCUGGGAAACUGGGUCUAAUACCGGAUAGGACCACUGCCUGCAUGAGUGGUGGUGGAAAGCUUUUGCGGUGUGGGAUGGGCCCACGGCCUAUCAGCUUGUUGGUGGGGUGAUGGCCUACCAAGGCGACGACGGGUAGCCGGCCUGAGAGGGUGACCGGCCACACUGGGACUGAGAUACGGCCCAGACUCCUACGGGAGGCAGCAGUGGGGAAUAUUGCACAAUGGGCGCAAGCCUGAUGCAGCGACGCCGCGUGAGGGAUGACGGCCUUCGGGUUGUAAACCUCUUUCAGCACCGACGAAGCGCAAGUGACGGUAGGUGCAGAAGAAGGACCGGCCAACUACGUGCCAGCCGCCGCUGUAA